Molecule: ribosomal RNA, 482 nt
Filed under: uncultured bacterium
Lineage: Bacteria
Description: partial 16S ribosomal RNA
Rfam family: Bacterial small subunit ribosomal RNA
Source: RNAcentral
GACGAACGCUGGCGGCGUGCUUAACACAUGCAAGUCGAACGAUGAAGAAGAGAAACGCGAACUUCGGUUCAAAUUUCACUUCGGAUUAGUGGCAGACGGGUGAGUAACGCGUGAGCAACCUACCUCUUACAAAGGGAUAGCCUCGGGAAACCGUGAUUAAUACCAUAUGACACAUUCAUAAGGCAUCUUAAGAAUGUUAAAGCUACGGCGGUAAGAGAUGGGCUCGCGUCCCAUUAGCUAGUUGGUGAGGUAACGGCCCACCAAGGCGACGAUGGGUAACCGGCCUGAGACGGUGCACCGUCACAUUGGAACUGGGACACGGUCCAAACUCCUACGGGAGGCAGCAGUGGGGAAUAUUGCCCGAUGGAGUGAACUCUGAUGCAGCGACGCCGCGUGAGCGAUGAAGGAAUUCGUUUCGUAAAGCUCUGUUCUAUGGGAAGAAAAGGACUGUACCAUAGGAGAAAGCCCCGGCUAAAUACGUG